AUGCUCUCGAGACACAUGCCUGGAGGUGCCCAUGGGAUCCUCUCGCUGCUGACCGUGGCGUUCGUCCUCCCGGAGGUGUCCGGGCUCCAGUGCUACGGCUGCAACAUCAUCGUUGGCACCAAGUACGUGGACAUGGGGUGCUCGAACCCCGAAGUGAUCACCUGCUCCCACUCCCACCAGGGCUUCAAACACCGGUUCUGCAUUAAGACAGAGAGCGUGGUCCUGGGCAGCCUGCUGACCAGCGGCUGUGCCACCUCCCGUCACUGCCAGCAGCAGGAGCUGCCGGGGGUCCGCAUCCACUGCUGCGACACCGAUCUCUGCAACGGCUCCCCCCGGCCGCCCCCCGGCCUCGACGGCGGCUGCCUCCUGCUGCCCUGCCUCCUGGCAGCCCUGCUCCUUUCCUGAGCCCCCCGCAGGGCCUGGGGUGGGGGUGUCUGAGCUUUGGAGGGGGCAGGAGGGGACGUGCGGCCAUCCCUGCCCCUGCAGCGGUGAACAAAGCCCUCCUCGCCCCUCUCCUCAAUAAAAGCCGAUGAAUGUUUUGCCCUGGAGAGGCC
This 554-nucleotide long non-coding RNA is filed under the name Anser brachyrhynchus (Pink-footed goose). Its description in RNAcentral is "lncRNA (ENSABRG00000021678.1)". The record is from RNAcentral. Lineage: Eukaryota; Metazoa; Chordata; Aves; Anseriformes; Anatidae.